GACGAACGCUGGCGGCGUGCCUAAUACAUGCAAGUCGAGCGGACCUGGGGGAGCUUGCUCCUUCCAGUUUAGCGGCGGACGGGUGAGUAACACGUGGGCAACCUGCCCUGCAGAUCGGGAUGACUCCGGGAGACCGGUGCUAAUACCGAAUAGUUUGUCGCCUCUCCUGAGGCGCCACGGAAAGACGGUUUCGGCUGUCAGUGCAGGAUGGGCCCGCGGCGCAUUAGCGCGUUGGUGGGGUAACGGCCCACCAAGGCGACGAUCCGUAGCCGACCUGAGAGGGUGACCGGCCACACUGGGACUGAGACACGGCCCAGACUCCUACGGGAGGCAGCAGUAGGGAAUCUUCCGCAAUGGACGCAAGUCUGACGGAGCAACGCCGCGUGAGCGACGAAGGUUUUCGGAUCGUAAAACUCUGUUGUGAGGGAAGAACACGUACCAACUAACUAUUGGUACCUUGACGGUACCUCACCAGAAAGCCACGGCUAACUACGUGCCAGCCGCCGCCGUAA
RNAcentral lists this ribosomal RNA (512 nucleotides) under uncultured bacterium. RNAcentral's name for it is "partial 16S ribosomal RNA". It matches the Rfam family "Bacterial small subunit ribosomal RNA", at positions 28 to 523 of the family's 1533-position model. The record is from RNAcentral.